GACGAACGCUGGCGGCGUGCUUAACACAUGCAAGUCGAACGGAAAGGCCCUGCUUGCAGGGUACUCGAGUGGCGAACGGGUGAGUAACACGUGGGUGAUCUGCCCUGCACUUCGGGAUAAGCCUGGGAAACUGGGUCUAAUACCGGAUAGGAGCCAUUUUUAGUGUGAUGGUUGGAAAGUUUUUUCGGUGUGGGAUGAGCUCGCGGCCUAUCAGCUUGUUGGUGGGGUAAUGGCCUACCAAGGCGGCGACGGGUAGCCGGCCUGAGAGGGUGGACGGCCACAUUGGGACUGAGAGACGGCCCCGACUCCUACGGGAGGCAGCAGUGGGGAAGAUUGCACAAGGGGCGCAAGCCUGAUGCAGCGACGCCGCGGGGGGGAUGACGGCCUUCGGGUUGUAAACUCCUUUCGCUAGGGACGAAGCUUUUUGUGACGGUACCUAGAUAAGAAGCACCGGCUAACUACGUG
This 465-nucleotide ribosomal RNA is filed under the name uncultured bacterium. RNAcentral describes it as "partial 16S ribosomal RNA". It matches the Rfam family "Bacterial small subunit ribosomal RNA", at positions 28 to 507 of the family's 1533-position model. The record is from RNAcentral.